UACGAAGGGAGCUAGCGUUGUUCGGAAUCACUGGGCGUAAAGCGCACGUAGGCGGAUUUGUCAGUCAGGGGUGAAAUCCCGGGGCUCAACCUCGGAACUGCCUCCAAAACUACAAGUCUGGAGCAAGAUAGAGGCAAGUGGAAUUGCGAGUGUAGAGGUGAAAUUCGUAGAUAUUCGCAGGAACACCAGUGGCGAAGGCGACUUGCUGGAUCUUUGCUGACGCUGAGACGCGAAAGCGUGGGGAGCAAACAGG
Molecule: ribosomal RNA, 253 nt
Filed under: uncultured bacterium
Lineage: Bacteria
Description: partial 16S ribosomal RNA
Rfam family: Bacterial small subunit ribosomal RNA
Source: RNAcentral